Transfer RNA from Babesia bigemina, 72 nucleotides. It matches the Rfam family "tRNA". Rfam says of the family: Transfer RNA (tRNA) molecules are approximately 80 nucleotides in length. The record is from Rfam. Lineage: Eukaryota; Apicomplexa; Aconoidasida; Piroplasmida; Babesiidae.
GCGUCAGUAGUCUAACGGUUAUGAUAUCUGCCUUCCAAGCAGAUGACCCGGGUUCGACUCCCGGCUGACGCA